Molecule: ribosomal RNA, 253 nt
Filed under: uncultured bacterium
Lineage: Bacteria
Description: partial 16S ribosomal RNA
Rfam family: Bacterial small subunit ribosomal RNA
Source: RNAcentral
UACGAAGGGUGCAAGCGUUAAUCGGAAUUACUGGGCGUAAAGCGCGCGUAGGUGGUUUAGUAAGUUGGAAGUGAAAUCCCCGGGCUCAACCUGGGAACUGCUUUCAAAACUGGUGAGCUAGAGUACGGUAGAGGGUGGUGGAAUUUCCUGUGUAGCGGUGAAAUGCGUAGAUAUAGGAAGGAACACCAGUGGCGAAGGCGACCACCUGGACUGAUACUGACACUGAGGUGCGAAAGCGUGGGGAGCAAACAGG